UGGGGAAUUUUGGACAAUGGGCGAAAGCCUGAUCCAGCAAUGCCGCGUGUGUGAAGAAGGCCUUCGGGUUGUAAAGCACUUUUGUCCGGAAAGAAAUCCUUGGCUCUAAUACAGUCGGGGGAUGACGGUACCGGAAGAAUAAGCACCGGCUAACUACGUGCCAGCAGCCGCGGUAAUACGUAGGGUGCAAGCGUUAAUCGGAAUUACUGGGCGUAAAGCGUGCGCAGGCGGUUUGCUAAGACCGAUGUGAAAUCCCCGGCUCAACCUGGGAACUGCAUUGGUGACUGGCAGGCUAGAGUAUGGCAGAGGGGGGUAGAAUUCCACGUGUAGCAGUGAAAUGCGUAGAGAUGUGGAGGAAUACCGAUGGCGAAGGCAGCCCCCUGGGCCAAUACUGACGCUCAUGCACGAAAGCGUGGGGAGCAAACAGGAUUAGAUACCCUGGUAGUCCACGCCCUAAACGAUGUCAACUAGUUGUUGGGGAUUCAUUUCCUUAGUAACGUAGCUAACGCGUGAAGUUGACCGCCUGGGGAGUACGGUCGCAAGAUUAAAACUUAAAUGAAUUGAC
Molecule: ribosomal RNA, 565 nt
Filed under: uncultured bacterium
Lineage: Bacteria
Description: partial 16S ribosomal RNA
Rfam family: Bacterial small subunit ribosomal RNA
Source: RNAcentral